GUGCCAGCAGCCGCGGUAAUACAGAGGGUGCGAGCGUUAAUCGGAAUUACUGGGCGUAAAGCGCACGUAGGCGGCUCUGCAAGUCGGUUGUGAAAUCCCCGGGCUCAACCUGGGAACUGCGACCGAGACUGCAUUGCUAGAGUAUGGGAGAGGAAAGCGGAAUUUCUGGUGUAGCAGUGAAAUGCGUAGAUAUCAGAAGGAACAUCAGUGGCGAAGGCGGCUUUCUGGACCAAUACUGACGCUCAGGUGCGAAAGCGUGGGGAGCAAACAGGAUUAGAAACCCUCGUAGUCC
RNAcentral lists this ribosomal RNA (292 nucleotides) under uncultured bacterium. RNAcentral's name for it is "partial 16S ribosomal RNA". It matches the Rfam family "Bacterial small subunit ribosomal RNA", at positions 505 to 796 of the family's 1533-position model. The record is from RNAcentral.